RNAcentral lists this ribosomal RNA (1106 nucleotides) under uncultured Termite group 1 bacterium. RNAcentral describes it as "bacterial SSU rRNA". It matches the Rfam family "Bacterial small subunit ribosomal RNA", at positions 212 to 1333 of the family's 1533-position model. The record is from RNAcentral. Lineage: Bacteria; Pseudomonadati; Elusimicrobiota.
AAUGCGUUUUGAGAUGGUCCUGCGGCCUAUCAGCUAGUUGGUAGGAUAGUGGCCUACCAAGGCUAUGACGGGUAUCCGACCUGAAAGGGCGAACGGACACACUGGAACUGAGACACGGUCCAGACUCCUACGGGAGGCAGCAGUGGGGAAUUUUGGACAAUGGGGGAAACCCUGAUCCAGCGACGCCGCGUGGAGGACGAAGGCUUUCGAGUUGUAAACUCCUUUUAGAGGGAAAGAAAAAAAUGACGGUACCCUCAGAAAAAGCCACGGCUAACUACGUGCCAGCAGCCGCGGUAAUACGUAGGUGGCGAGCGUUACUCGGAAUUACUAGGCGUAAAGCGUAUGUAGGCGGUUAGAUAAGUCUUUAGUGAAAUUUCUUGGCUCAACUGAGAAUAGUCUAAGGAUACUGUUUAACUUGAGUUUAGGAGAGGGAGACGGAAUUCCUGGUGUAGCGGUGAAAUGCUUAGAUAUCAGGAGGAACACCAAUGGCGAAAGCAGUCUCCUGGCCUAACACUGACGUUAAUGUACGAAAGCUAGGGUAGCAAACAGGAUUAGAUACCCUGGUAGUCCUAGCUGUAAACGAUGUUCACUAGAUGUGGGAGGUAUUGACCCCUUCUGUGUCGACGCUAACGCAUUAAGUGAACCGCCUGGGGAGUACGACCGCAAGGUUGAAACUCAAAAGAAUUGACGGGGGUCCGCACAAGCGGUGGAAUAUGUGGUUUAAUUCGACGCACCACGAAAAACCUUACCUGGGCUUGAACUGCUAAUAGUAAGAGCCGGAAACGGCGAUGAUCCGCAAGGAAGUUAGUAGAGGUGCUGCAUGGCUGUCGUCAGCUCGUGUCGUGAGAUGUUGGGUUAAGUCCCGCAACGAGCGCAACCCUUAUCCCAUGUUACCUGUAGAAAUACAGGGUCUCUGAGGAAACUGCCAUUGAUAAAAUGGAGGAAGGUGGGGACGAAGUCAAGUCAUCAUGGUCUUUAUGUCCAGGGCUACACACGUAUUACAAUGGACGGUACAGAGGGUGGCAAUACCGUAAGGUGGAGCAAAUCCCUAAAGCCGUCCUCAGUUCGGAUUGUGGGCUGCAAUUCGUCCACAUGAAGUAGGAAUC